Non-coding RNA from Delphinapterus leucas (beluga whale), 547 nucleotides. The record is from RefSeq and is a predicted model, not a curated record. Lineage: Eukaryota; Metazoa; Chordata; Mammalia; Artiodactyla; Monodontidae.
UCGGACGUCGCUGAGUGUGCCAACAAGCACCCCGGGCAGCCCUUGAGAGGGUUCCAAAUCCAGGUUUCAUUCUGCAGCCUGGAGGAUGCUUUGACGAUCGCCUUGCGAGAGGAAACUAGAAGCUGCAUCGGUGAUUCCCAGACAAGCCACGGGUUAGAGCACGGAACUCCCCCAGCUGGGAGCCCGCUGAUGCAGUGACAAAGGGAGCCCGGCUGAGACCCUGCUCAGGAAGGCAGUGGGCUGGUUAAAAAUAACUGGAGGCACCCAAACAGUAGCUGAGAAGGAAAGAACCACCUGAAAGCUAAGGGCGUGGAAAAGAUGGAAGCUACAGGCCUGAGUGAAGCCACACCUGAAAGGUUGCUUUUCCAGACCUUGAUGGGAAAAAGCCACCAUGAGAGGAACGUGAAGGACAGCUGGGCACCAAGAGGCUGAAGAGCUGGAACCUUCUGUGUUGUUGGCAGCUAUUGCUCCCAGUGUGUGGUUUAAUGUGCUCAUGACAAAGAGAUAAUACCAGAACAAAAUAUUCAACCCACUCCGUGGUUUUCUU